CGAACGGGUGAGUAACACGUGGGUGACCUUCCCCAAAGACGGGGAUAACUCUUGGAAACAGGGGCUAAUACCCGAUGUGCUCAGCAGUUCACUCUGUUGAGUAAAGCUAUGGCGCUUUGGGAUGGGCCCGCGGCCCAUCAGCUAGUUGGUAGGGUAAAGGCCUACCAAGGCUAAGACGGGUAGGGGGCGUGAGAGCGCGAUCCCCCACACUGGCACUGAGACACGGGCCAGACUCCUACGGGAGGCAGCAGUGAGGAAUAUUGCGCAAUGGACGAAAGUCUGACGCAGCGACGCCGCGUGGGCGAUGAAGGCCUUCGGGUCGUAAAGCCCUUUUCUGGGGGAAGAGAAAGGACGGUACCCCAGGAAUAAGCCCCGGCUAACUACGUGCCAGCAGCCGCGGUAAAACGUAGGGGGCAAGCGUUAUCCGGAUUUACUGGGCGUAAAGAGCGUUGAGGCGGUUUUGUAAGUUGGGCGUGAAAGCCCUGGGCUUAACUCAGGGAAGCCGUUCAAUACUGCGAAACUUGAGGGCAGCAGAGGGAGGUGGAAUUCCCGGAGUAGCGGUGAAAUGCGUAGAUAUCGGGAGGAACACCAGUGGCGAAGGCGGCCUCCUGGGCUGCUCCUGACGCUGAAGGCGAAAGCUAGGGGAGCGAACGGGAUUAGAAACCCCGGUAGUCCUAGCCGUAAACGAUGGAUGCUAGGUGUGGGGGGUGUAGAUUCCCUCCGUGCCGCAGUUAACGCGUUAAGCAUCCCGCCUGGGGAGUACGGCCGCAAGGCUAAAACUCAAACGAAUUGACGGGGGCCCGCACAAGCAGCGGAGCGUGUGGUUUAAUUCGACGCUACACGAAGAACCUUACCUGGGCUUGACAUACAGGUAGUAGUGAAGUGAAAGCGGAUCGACCCUUCGGGGAGCCUGUACAGGUGCUGCAUGGCUGUCGUCAGCUCGUGCCG
Molecule: ribosomal RNA, 948 nt
Filed under: uncultured organism
Description: bacterial SSU rRNA
Rfam family: Bacterial small subunit ribosomal RNA
Source: RNAcentral